CGCUUUCACUCCUACGGGAGGCAGCAGUGGGGAAUAUUGCACAAUGGGCGCAAGCCUGAUGCAGCCAUGCCGCGUGUAUGAAGAAGGCCUUCGGGUUGUAAAGUACUUUCAGCAGUGAGGAAGGCGGAGUCGUUAAUAGCGGCCUCGUUUGACGUUAGCUGCAGAAGAAGCACCGGUUAACUCCGUGCCAGCAGCCGCGGUAAUACGGAGGGUGCGAGCGUUAAUCGGAAUUACUGGGCGUAAAGCGCAUGCAGGUGGUUUGUUAAGUCAGAUGUGAAAGCCCGGGGCUCAACCUCGGAAUUGCAUUUGAAACUGGCAGACUAGAGUACUGUAGAGGGGGUAGAAUUUCAGGUGUAGCGGUGAAAUGCGUAGAGAUCUGAAGGAAUACCGGUGGCGAAGGCGGCCCCCUGGACAGAUACUGACACUCAGAUGCGAAAGCGUGGGGAGCAAACAGGAUUAGAUACCCUGGUAG
This 472-nucleotide ribosomal RNA is filed under the name uncultured bacterium. Its description in RNAcentral is "bacterial SSU rRNA". It matches the Rfam family "Bacterial small subunit ribosomal RNA", at positions 328 to 793 of the family's 1533-position model. The record is from RNAcentral.